UGCUCAAAAAAGGUUUCAACUGCUUAACCAAGUACAGCUCAUUCUUCCACCUUCUUACUCUGCAACCAAACAAAGUGCCCCAUACUACAGCAUAUAAAAUGACCAAGUCUUGAAAGAGAAAAGGAGCAAAGUAGCAAAUACAUCAACAAUUCACUAUCAGAAACACAGAAAAUCCCAGAGAGAGAAGGCAGUAUCUCUAAAUCAUGGAUGGACUUGGAAAGUUCGGAAGGAUUCGAGUGCUUCCUUUCAGAAAGACAAUUCUGGAUCAACUCCCUAGAGCAGGAAGCCUGUGGUUUGUAAUUGGUGUUCUAGCUCUGACUCCCUCCCCUGGGACAGCAAUCACGCUCUCUACCUGCUGACAAAGUGAGGGUGGAGCUGCUAGAGGCAACCACCCCCCACCCUGCCCCCCUCCUCCUGGUGCGCACACACAACACUUACUUAACCAGACACGUUCUUUUGCUCUCUCCCCUCCCUCAGCUCCUCUACUCCCUCUAUUGAGCCACAGCUAAACUGCAUCCAAUUUGAUCCCCAGUACCUCUCUCUGGUACGCAAGCUACCACAUGCAAAUCAGGGCCACUCAAACAUAUCUAAGCAGACUCUGCACCCAACAGAGCAUAGAUGAUGGUAUGAGGAAAUAAACAGAAAAAAAUAAAGGUAAUCCAGAAAAGAAUGGACACAAGGUUUUGCAAAUAUAAA
Macaca mulatta (Rhesus monkey) is the source of this 696-nucleotide non-coding RNA. Lineage: Eukaryota; Metazoa; Chordata; Mammalia; Primates; Cercopithecidae. The record is from RefSeq and is a predicted model, not a curated record.